GAUGAACGCUGGCGGCGUGCCUAAUACAUGCAAGUCGAGCGAACGGACGAGAAGCUUGCUUCUCUGAUGUUAGCGGCGGACGGGUGAGUAACACGUGGAUAACCUACCUAUAAGACUGGGAUAACUUCGGGACACCGGAGCUAAUACCGGAUAAUAUUUUGAACCGCAUGGUUCAAAAGUGAAAGGCGGUCUUGCUGUCACUUAUAGAUGGAUCCGCGCUGCAUUAGCUAGUUGGUAAGGUAACGGCUUACCAAGGCAACGAGGCAUAGCCGACCUGAGAGAGUGAUAGGCCACCCUGGAACUGAGACACGGUCCAGGCUCCUACGAGAGGCAGCAGUAGGGAAUCUUCCGCAAUGGGCGAAAGCCUGACGGAGCAACGCCGCGUGAGUGAUGAAGGUCUUCGGAUCGUAAAACUCUGUUAUUAGGGAAGAACAUAUGUGUAAGUAACUGUGCACAUCUUGACGGUACCUAAUCAGAAAGCCACGGCUAACUACGUG
This 497-nucleotide ribosomal RNA is filed under the name uncultured bacterium. RNAcentral's name for it is "partial 16S ribosomal RNA". It matches the Rfam family "Bacterial small subunit ribosomal RNA", at positions 28 to 507 of the family's 1533-position model. The record is from RNAcentral.